Long non-coding RNA from Lepidothrix coronata (blue-crowned manakin), 1176 nucleotides. RefSeq lists it as uncharacterized. The record is from RefSeq and is a predicted model, not a curated record. The transcript is spliced from 2 exons. Lineage: Eukaryota; Metazoa; Chordata; Aves; Passeriformes; Pipridae.
CCUGCCACAGGUAACCCUGCAAUGAGUGACCUCGCCAUGGGGACCCUGUCAUGGGUAACCCUGUCGGGGGGUGACCUUGCCAUGGGUGACCUUGCCGUGGGUGACCCUGCCAUGGGUGACCCUGCCACGGGUAACCCUGUCGGUGGGUGACCUUGCCACGGGCGAUCCUGCCAUGGGUCCUGGUGAUUUUGACGCCGUCAUGUGGAGUGUUUGCUCUGUGGAUGAUCCGUGUGGGACGGGGCGGGGCCCGCGUCAGCAAUCACUGUGAGGCGGCGUCACAACAGAUCGUUUGUGCUUAUGGCAAUAUCUGCUUCUGUUCCAUUGCUGAAGACACUUUAUUCCUUGUGUUCUGUUUCACACUUGCGAUCCUUAAUGUUGAUGUACUUGAAUUGAUGACUUGCAAAUUGUACUAACCCUGCAGGACUUCAGUGCCUUGAAUCUCAGCUUUCCAGUCCCAGCUGGAAAGAGAUGUACAAUUAUUUGAAAGUUUGCGCUCCAGGUGGCACGGACACCUCUCUCCUGUUUGAAAGUUGCUUUUUGCCCGUUUUACUGUGCGUAGAGUCUCCACCUGCACCUCAGUCUAAAGGCACAAGGUAACCACUAGACCUGGUUUGCCGAUGGUAAGUCUCCUUCCCUCUGAAAGCGCUGCGGGAGCGUUACAGGCACAGGACCCGGAGCAGUGGCCAUGCCCAAAGGCGCCGUCACUCCCUGGUGAUGAUGCUUUAUACCAUCUGCUGAAGGGCAGAGAUGUCCUGUGCUUCCAAGCUGUGAAUUGUAUAGUUCUAUUGUACCUCGAGCAUUAUUAUUCUACCUGUCUAAAUUAUUUUGUUUGUACCCUUUGAAUAUAUUAUUCCAUCAAUUCAGUUAGAAUUGAAUUUUAUAGACAAUUAUGCAGAGUCUUCUGCCUGGGCAAAAUACUUACUGUAGUAAGAGAUUUCUGUUCUCUGUACCAUGUAUCUUUAAUUUGUUUGAGUUUUUUAGAUUCAUGUAUGUAUGCUUCAUGAGCAAACAUGGAAAAUAUGUUCUCACACCGGGUUCCCUUCGGCUCGCACUGAAUCCUACAGAUUAUGUCGCUAUUGCCUGUAUAGUCCAUCCCUUGUAUACUGACAAAGUCAGUGGCACUAAAAGCCCCGAGAAAUUGUAUAGAUUAAAAAGAAAAAUAAACAUUUUGUGCUU